RNAcentral lists this ribosomal RNA (723 nucleotides) under uncultured bacterium. RNAcentral describes it as "bacterial SSU rRNA". It matches the Rfam family "Bacterial small subunit ribosomal RNA", at positions 57 to 792 of the family's 1533-position model. The record is from RNAcentral.
GCAGUCGCGCGAGAACCUCCUUCGGGAGGCGGANAGCGGCGAAAGGGAGAGUAACGCGUAGAUACCUACCCUGGGGACCGGGAUAGCGGCGGGAAACUGCCGGUAAUACCGGAUAACGUCUCCGGACCAAAUGGUGUGAUUCCGCCCUUGGAUGGGUCUGCGUCCUAUUAGCUAGUUGGAGGGGUAAGAGCCCACCAAGGCGAAGAUGGGUACCGGGUGUGAGAGCAUGGCCCGGCUCACUGGGACUGAGACACUGCCCAGACACCUACGGGUGGCUGCAGUCGAGAAUCUUCCGCAAUGGACGCAAGUCUGACGGAGCGACGCCGCGUGCGGGAUGAAGGCCUUCGGGUUGUAAACCGCUGUCAGUGGGGAGCAAAUCCAUAAGGGUUCUCUCUUAUGGUUGAGCUAUCCGCAGAGGAAGCGCAGGCUAAGUUCGUGCCAGCAGCCGCGGUAACACGAACUGCGCGAACGUUAUUCGGAAUCACUGGGCUUAAAGAGUUCGUAGGCGGCCUGAUCAGUCGGGUGUGAAAUCCCUCGGCUUAACCGAGGAACUGCGCCCGAUACUGUCAGGCUAGAGGGAGACAGGGGUGAGCGGAACUGAUGGUGGAGCGGUGAAAUGCGUUGAUAUCAUCAGGAACACCGGUGGCGAAGGCGGCUCACUGGGUCUCUUCUAACGCUGAGGAACGAAAGCUAGGGGAGCGAACGGGAUUAGAUACCCUGGUA